This is a non-coding RNA of Schizosaccharomyces pombe (fission yeast), 2571 nucleotides long. The record is from the annotation of a GenBank genome assembly. NCBI's taxonomy places the organism in Eukaryota, Fungi, Ascomycota, Schizosaccharomycetes, Schizosaccharomycetales, Schizosaccharomycetaceae.
AUAAAAGAUUGAAUAAAAUUAACCACACGUCUAUUUCAGUUGCAACACGUUAAGCAGAAAUGAUAGAACAAAGAACAGACAGUUUAUGAGUUAGAGAUCUUGACAAGAGAUUCUCAAUAAAUAAAAAUUAAAAGAAAAAUUAAUCUAGAUUAUGAUUUUCAAGCACAGAGAGCUUGUAUUUUCAAAAUCGGUAUAAAGAAAGGGUAACCAAGGAAAGCACAAUGCUUUUAUUGAGCUUUCUUUGGAUUUCGUUCUUGUUUAACCAAAAAAAGAAAGGAUUUUUAGGUAAAUGAAGACUAAAGUUGCUCUUGCACUUAAAAAGCAAGAAUAGGUCUAGGUAAAGAUUUUAACAGUCAAGAGGGCAGCUUUUAUACUAAAUUCGGGAAGAGAAACCCCGACAAAAGUAUCAAAAGUCCUUUGCUUUCAGUGAAAUUUUAGACAGGAUCGCCGGAGAGUUUUUGGUUAUACGUCACAAUAUUACAAGGGCAACAAGGUAGUUAGCAAACUCUUGUAUCAUUGGACGCCGACUUAAAAAAACGCAGUCACACACAAAUAAGAACGAAUAAGAUGUGGAAUAGAAUUUAAACGACGUGUAUGACGAGGAUCAACAGCUCGUUGAAAGUCAAGAACGAGGUAAAAAUGUCACGAUAUCAUUAAUUCUCCAUAGCAAAAAAAAAAAUUCAAUCGUAAAAUGAUACACUGUACGUAAUGAAACUGAUGCAUAUACUGGGGAAAGACACUAUUAGUGAGGUAGAAAGCCGAUAACAGGAUGAAAAAACGACUUUCAAUAAAUGUGAUGUAGGAAUAAUUCUCAAAAGUAAAGUAAAUUUAAAUACUUUGGCGACCGAGGCUGCAAGUUCGGACUGCUAGCAAAUACAGAGUGUAUUCCAACGUCAAUAAUUUUAGCAAAGUAACCGAAAAAACCAAGUAUAUUUCUAUACUCCUCAUAUCGUUAAAUCAAGAUUGAACACAAAAAAACGUUUCCUGAGGCAAAAGAAGUAAAGUGUCUGCAGUAAAAUUAAUUCGCAAGGCGAAAAAAUAAUACCAAUGGUGGCCAUACGUAUUGGAACCAGCAAAUAUCAAAGUUUAAAACACAGCAUACUCUCAUCGCUGCAUGACUAUCUCAAAGCUGGCAAUAGAACAAUUAACGUUACGGAACCAUAAUCCUUCAAAUUUCGAUUGCUUGCAUUCUCGAGCUCCACAUAUUCGAGUCCAUAACGGAACUAACCUAAAUGCGGAGUUCCUCUAGUAUUAACUAGUAACAUGAAUAGAGCAUAGCCGUGCUCUUUUUUUUUAAGAAAACGUCACGCAACGUGUAUCUUAUCUCUGUCCUAUCCAAGUCAGGAUAGCUAGGGGCCCCCAACCUGGAGACCAUACAUCGACCGCGACACCAACCAUCCUAGCGAGACUCCCUAACAAGAAGGUAAAUAUGGAUGGACAAUGAACCUUUUCAAAAAAAAACAGAAUUCUCAAGCGAUAUAUUCGCUCUUGAACAGUUCGGUGUAAAAGGAUACUUCUAUCCCUUGAUUACGUGUACGCCCAUACUUCAUUCGGACUAUAGAAGAAAUAUGGAGCUGUAACCCGUACUGCAAUUGUCUGUGUUAAGAAAAUGUAAACGCUGCACACUAAAUCAUCACUAAUUCAUCGCUAACUAACGUAGUCCCUAAAAAGUUAUGAACUUGGUAAACGACUUUUGAGGCCUUGGGACCUCCUUAAAUACGCCCAACUCAUUACUAACAAGGUUUGCUAUGUCCGUGAAAAGCGCCUAUUGUACAUAUAUUGCUCCCAUAUAUGUGAAGCUUUUGCCCAAUCAUUGUAAGACAGGGUCUUGCUAUAUUUCCCUACCCCGCUCCAUUCUUCCCAAGUCUGAGAAAAACUGUGGAGAAGCCUACCAAUUUUGCCUAAGGGGAUUUUGAUCCCGCCUCUGCAAUCUAUUGGACGAUAAUAGCUAUAACUACAUUUGAUUGGAUGAAAGACAUGUGAUGAAUGCUGGAUGGUUUUGUUGUUUUUAAAUGACCACCGAUAAUUUUUUUAGUUAGUACGCAUACAUUGAUGAAAGCUGAAAAAUUAUAAUAGGGUGAAUAAAUGAAAUUCUUUUUGUGUCUUUUACUCUAAUAUCGUCUGGCAAUUUUCUAUUUUCGUACUUCGAUAGCGCCAUACAUGUCUUGUCACCCGUUUUUACGAGCUAGGCUUAGAAAUAUCUUGGAAUUUUUUUUCAGACAUGUUGAUGAUUGGCUGAUACUUUUUCCAGUUCUGCCUCCUCCACAAUUUGCAUCCGCGUUUUCCAGAGACGUUGGGGCAAUAACUUUGUCUAACAUUAAAUUGAAAUUACAAGGGUAAGUAUUUGAAUCAAGACUAACCUUUAUACGUUGAAUGUCUUCGAUAUUGUAGAGAAUGCCUUGAAAAAAAAAUUUUAUUUGUGUUAAUACAAUCUAAUAUUGUGGAAUAAAAAAUGGUUUGUGACUGCUCUUCUGUUCUCGGCUGUUGUAUUUCUUAAUAGGACGGCUCGUAAAAUUCGUUAUUUGCGCGUCCAGUACACCAUCGAUUCCCAUAUUAUCCACAGUUUACAAA